CGGAAGCUGUUCGUGCUUGCACGAUAAAGCUUCUGAACUUGAAAGUCGCCAAACAUGAGAAAGUAGCGAUUUACGGAGUAAAUCAGCGGAUUUCGAAUGUUUGCAGGAUUGCGGGAGCAGCAAAGCUGCGGAGCAAUCCGGGGCAUC
This 147-nucleotide small RNA is filed under the name uncultured Ruminococcus sp. Its description in RNAcentral is "Clostridiales-1 RNA". It matches the Rfam family "Clostridiales-1 RNA", at positions 22 to 165 of the family's 166-position model. The record is from RNAcentral. Lineage: Bacteria; Bacillati; Bacillota; Clostridia; Eubacteriales; Oscillospiraceae.